Vigna radiata var. radiata (mung bean) is the source of this 466-nucleotide long non-coding RNA. RefSeq lists it as uncharacterized. The record is from RefSeq and is a predicted model, not a curated record. The transcript is spliced from 3 exons. Lineage: Eukaryota; Viridiplantae; Streptophyta; Magnoliopsida; Fabales; Fabaceae.
CCAAAACGCAGCUAUCCCUUUAUUUCUCAAAAAUCUGCAUAUCUCUAAAACACAAGCUUCUCUUUUUUUUCUCCAUCUUUAUACGAUUCUCUUCCUUCUCUCUUUACAAAUUUUCAUUUCUUCAUCUAAACAAUAAUCAGGUCGUGCUUGAGGUCUCCUAGUGACAAAAGUUUCUCUUUUCAUUGAUCAAGUUACUAUUUUGGAAGUGAUUUGUUGGCAGUGAUUAUGCGUGGGGGUAGCCAAAUUCGGUAAGAGGUCUUCGUUUGAUUUCGGCCUAAGAGGGAGGAGAUGCUUUUGUGGAGCAAACAUUGGAAGGAGAAGACCUAUUCGUUUAUGUUAAGAGUAAGACCGUUUGACCUUGUACGUUUUUAGGUAACCGCUUAGGACCGUUUAGUUUAUACGUUUAUCAUAUUACCGCUCGGUUUGUUCUUUCAGUUUGUAUCAGCGUAAAUUUUUCUGUAAAGUU